UAAACAUGCCAGAUUUAAAAGGAAAGAUAUAUGUGUGUGUGUGUGUGUGUGUGUGUGUGUGUGUAUAUAUAUAUAUAUAUAUACA
This 85-nucleotide microRNA precursor is filed under the name Poecilia formosa (Amazon molly). RNAcentral describes it as "miRNA (ENSPFOG00000021172.1)". Lineage: Eukaryota; Metazoa; Chordata; Actinopteri; Cyprinodontiformes; Poeciliidae. The record is from RNAcentral.